AAAUUGGAACAUAAAUGAGAAGAGAAAUAGUGCAGUAUUGCUAAUACACCAUAUAUAUAUUGUGUAUUGGCAAUACUGCACUAUUUCUCUUCUCAUUUAUGUUUGUGAUAC
Molecule: microRNA precursor, 111 nt
Filed under: Pelobates cultripes (western spadefoot toad)
Lineage: Eukaryota; Metazoa; Chordata; Amphibia; Anura; Pelobatidae
Source: RNAcentral